CGCCCAUUAGCUAGCCCUCCCCCAAAAAUCAACACAUCCUCAUUAAUAACCCCUAACGCACCCGCAUUAAACCAAACAAAUCAUUUUUCCCCCCUAGUAUGGGCGACAGAAAAGGAACUAUGGAGCAACAGAGAAAGUACCGCAAGGGAAAGCUGAAAGAGAAAUGAAAUAACCCAGUAAAGCUUAAAAAAGCAGAGAUUUAUACUUGUACCUUUUGCAUCAUGAUUUAGCCAGUAACCCCAAGCGAAGAGAACUUUAGUUUGGUCCCCCGAAACUAAGUGAGCUACUCCAAGACAGCCUAUUAUAGGGCGAACCCGUCUCUGUGGCAAAAGAGUGGGAAGAGCUUCGAGUAGAGGUGAUAAAUCUACCGAACUUAGUGAUAGCUGGUUGUCUGAGAAAUGGAUAAGAGUUCAGCCUUUCGGUUUCUCAUCUCAAUUUUUGUUUUUACUCCAAUUAGAACCCAAAGAAACCAAAAGAGUUAAUCUAAGGGGGUACAGCCCCUCAGAUAAAGGACACAACCUUCACAGGAGGGUAAAGAUCACAUUCAACCCAAGGUAAAGUACCCCGGUGGGCUUAAAAGCAGCCAUCCAUUCAGAAAGCGUUAAAGCUCAGGUACACCCAACCUUCCAUCGAUCCCGAUAGCACAAUCUCAUCCCCCUUUCAAUAUCAGACUAUCCACUGCAAACAGUGGAGAAAUAAUGCUAAUAUGAGUAAUAAGAGAAAACAAAAUUCUCUCCCUGCACAAGUGUACCUCGGAACGGACCAACCACCGAACUUUAACGACCCCAAACAAAGAGGGAAAUGGAUUACAAACAAAAUAACUAGAAAAGUAUCCAAAACAAGCUCGUUAACCCCACACUGGUGUGCUAUCCGGGAAAGACUAAAAGGAGGGGAAGGAACUCGGCAAACACUUAAAGCCUCGCCUGUUUACCAAAAACAUCGCCUCUUGCAAGACCAAUGAAUAAGAGGUCCCGCCUGCCCUGUGACUAUAUGUUUAACGGCCGCGGUAUUUUGACCGUGCGAAGGUAGCGCAAUCACUUGUCUUUUAAAUGAAGACCUGUAUGAAUGGCAUCACGAGGGCUUAGCUGUCUCCCUCUCCCAGUCAAUGAAAUUGAUCUCCCCGUGCAGAAGCGGGGAUAAAGACAUAAGACGAGAAGACCCUAUGGAGCUUAAGGCGCCAGAACAGCUCACGUCAAACACCCCCGCAUAAAGGGAAUAAACCAAGUGAACCCUGCUCUAGUGUCUUUGGUUGGGGCGACCGCGGGGAAAAAUUAAACCCCCAUGUGGAACAGGAACACUAUAUUCCUUAAUCCAAGAGCUCCCGCUCUAAUAAACAGAACUUCUGACCAACAAGAUCCGGCAACGCCGAUCAACGGACCGAGUUACCCUAGGGAUAACAGCGCAAUCCCCUUAAAGAGCCCUUAUCGACAAGGGGGUUUACGACCUCGAUGUUGGAUCAGGACAUCCUAAUGGUGCAGCCGCUAUUAAGGGUUCGUUUGUUCAACGAUUAAAGUCCUACGUGAUCUGAGUUCAGACCGGAGUAAUCCAGGUCAGUUUCUAUCUAUGAAGUGAUCUUUUCUAGUACGAAAGGACCGAAAAGAGAGGGCCCCUGCCUAACGGCAUGCCUUACCCCCACCUACUGAAAACAACUAAAGUUGGCAAGGAGGCACACCCCGCCCGCCUAAGAGAACGGCUA
This 1696-nucleotide ribosomal RNA is filed under the name Sparus aurata (gilthead seabream). RNAcentral's name for it is "16S". It matches the Rfam family "Bacterial large subunit ribosomal RNA". Lineage: Eukaryota; Metazoa; Chordata; Actinopteri; Spariformes; Sparidae. The record is from RNAcentral.